RNAcentral lists this ribosomal RNA (688 nucleotides) under uncultured bacterium. RNAcentral's name for it is "bacterial SSU rRNA". It matches the Rfam family "Bacterial small subunit ribosomal RNA", at positions 28 to 762 of the family's 1533-position model. The record is from RNAcentral.
AGCGAACGCUGGCGGCAGGCCUAACGCAUGCAAGUCGAACGCACCGCAAGGUGAGUGGCAGACGGGUGAGUAACGCGUGGGAACGUACCCUUCGGUUCGGAAUAACCCGGGGAAACUCGGGCUAAUACCGGAUACGUCCGUGAGGAGAAAGAUUUAUCGCCGAAGGAUCGGCCCGCGUUGGAUUAGCUAGUUGGUGAGGUAACGGCUCACCAAGGCGAUGAUCCAUAGCUGGUCUGAGAGGACGAUCAGCCACACUGGGACUGAGACACGGCCCAGACUCCUACGGGAGGCAGCAGUGGGGAAUAUUGGACAAUGGGCGCAAGCCUGAUCCAGCCAUGCCGCGUGAGUGAUGAAGGCCCCUAGGGUUGUAAAGCUCUUUUACCAGGGACGAUAAUGACUGUACCUGGAGAAUAAGCCCCGGCUAACUUCGUGCCAGCAGCCGCGGUAAUACGAAGGGGGUCUAGCGUUGCUCGGAAUCACUGGGCGUAAAGCGCACGUAGGUGGGUCGCUGAGUCGGGGUGAAAUCCUGGAGCUCAACUCCAGAACUGCCUUCGAUACUGGCGAUCUUCGAGUCCGGGAGAGGUGGGUGGAACUGCGAGUGUAGAGGUGAAAUUCGUAGACAUUCGCAAGAACACCAGUGGCGAAGGCGGCUCACUGGCCCGGUACUGACACUGAGGUGCGAAAGCGU